UUCCGAACCUGCAAGAAUGAUACACAUUCUUACUUUUGAGCAUCAAUGACCGUUGGGUCGCUUUUUCAUUUUUUGAAGAUAGUCGAGAAGUAUUGUUAUAUUUUAGAAAUUGAGGUGUAUUCAGUAUUCCUUUUAAGAAAACUUUGAAUCACUGAUUGGGACAAUAAAAAAGGAGUUGACAAAUGCUUCCCUUCCUUCAAGCUUAAAAUGUGCUUGCCAUUUUUGGCCAUUGAUGCAAGGAUAUGCAAUUCCGAGGCAAUGCAAGAAAG
RNAcentral lists this unclassified non-coding RNA (269 nucleotides) under Hevea brasiliensis (rubber tree). The record is from RNAcentral. Lineage: Eukaryota; Viridiplantae; Streptophyta; Magnoliopsida; Malpighiales; Euphorbiaceae.